CUACGGGAGGCAGCAGUGGGGAAUAUUGGACAAUGGGGGAAACCCUGAUCCAGCAAUGCCGCGUGUGUGAAGAAGGCCUGCGGGUUGUAAAGCACUUUCGGUUGGGAGGACUGCUUCUAGCACUAAUAUUGUUGGAAGUUGACGUUACCUUCAGAAGAAGCACCGGCUAACUCCGUGCCAGCAGCCGCGGUAGUACGGAGGGUGCAAGCGUUAAUCGGAAUUACUGGGCGUAAAGCGCGCGUAGGCGGCUAGAUCAGUCGGGUGUGAAAGCCCCGGGCUCAACCUGGGAACGGCAUUUGGAACUGGUGAGCUAGAGUUAGGUAGAGGGGAGUGGAAUUUCAGGUGUAGCGGUGAAAUGCGUAGAUAUCUGAAGGAACACCAGUGGCGAAGGCGGCUCCCUGGACCCAAACUGACGCUGAGGUACGAAAGCGUGGGUAGCAAACAGGAUUAGAUACCCCAGUAGUC
This 465-nucleotide ribosomal RNA is filed under the name uncultured bacterium. RNAcentral describes it as "partial 16S ribosomal RNA". It matches the Rfam family "Bacterial small subunit ribosomal RNA", at positions 339 to 795 of the family's 1533-position model. The record is from RNAcentral.